UUUUCUAAUGAUGAUACAACAUUUUAUAACAGUUAUCCCUGUCAGACAUGGUAACAAUUCCAUGGUGUAAAAACUUAUCUGAAAGAAAA
Molecule: small nucleolar RNA, 89 nt
Filed under: Diaphorina citri (Asian citrus psyllid)
Lineage: Eukaryota; Metazoa; Arthropoda; Insecta; Hemiptera; Psyllidae
Description: small nucleolar RNA R38
Rfam family: Small nucleolar RNA R38
About the family: snoR38 is a C/D box small nucleolar RNA conserved across yeast, human, Arabidopsis and rice. It is encoded in the intron of elongation factor-1 gamma in both pombe and cerevisiae. snoR38 guides the methylation of 2'-O-ribose sites in 28S rRNA.
Source: Rfam by way of RNAcentral